UCUCUGGUGGUUCAGUGGUUAGGACUUUGCGCUUCCACUGCAGGGGGCACAGGUUUGAUCCCUGGUCUGGGGUC
Non-coding RNA from Bos taurus (domestic cattle), 74 nucleotides. The record is from Rfam. NCBI's taxonomy places the organism in Eukaryota, Metazoa, Chordata, Mammalia, Artiodactyla, Bovidae.